RNAcentral lists this long non-coding RNA (22126 nucleotides) under Ananas comosus (pineapple). Its description in RNAcentral is "long non-coding RNA (ACOM_LNC019974)". Lineage: Eukaryota; Viridiplantae; Streptophyta; Magnoliopsida; Poales; Bromeliaceae. The record is from RNAcentral.
AAUAAGAUAUUAUUGGGAUAUACACAAGUCAUUUUCCUGUAGUCCUAUAUAUAUGGUUUUUGUUUUAAGAGAUAGGUAGCAUGCUAUUCGUUUCGUUUAUUUCAUUUAGAAAUAAACUUAGUUAGAAAUGUGAAUCAACCAGAAUUCGAACUUGGGACCUCGAGUACCAACCACCAAGUCUUUUGCCACUUGUGCUAGGGACAGUCGGUCUAUAUAUAUGUUGAUUGUGGAUCAAGCCCAUAGUUUAUGUUGAUUGUGGAGUCCAUAGUUUACGUUGGGGUACGUAGUUGAAUUUCUUAUUUCAAACAAUUAACAUCGUAGAUUUUUCAACUAUGAAAAGGCAAGGAAAAAAAAAUAUUAUAAUUGAAUAAGAAGGCAGGGCAUAGAAGAAAAUAUACCUGUGUGAGAAAAGUAAUGUUGUGAUAUCUAUUAACACUUUUACAGACAUUAAGAUAUACUUAAAAAAUUAAUAAUACCAUGCGGCCUACUGAAAAUAAUAUUAAAAAAGUUAUUUUUUACUAGAGAAUAAUAGUUGUUUCAUAUUAUUUUAGUAUGAUAUACCAGAAGGUCCUAAAUUCUAGUUUUGACAGGCUCUUAUUUUUUGUUAAUUUUCUCCUAUUUUUCUGUAAGUCAAAUUCCGCCAGAUUCCUAAUUAAUAACCGAUAUGCCACAUGUUUCCGCGUGAAUACUGCUUCAAGCAAGAUACCAUGAGGAGAAGCAUAGGAGCUUGUUUGGAAGGAAAAAAAAAAAGAGAAAAGAGAUAAGCGCUAAAUGCAUUAAAUGUGAAAAGUCCCUUUAAAAGUAAAAGCGCCUGAGUAUUUUGCACUUCGUUUUCAAUGAUGAAGCAUUCGAGCUACGUUCCAACUAACAGCAUUAAAUAUGAUCCAAGAUAUUUAAAAUUUUAUAUGAUUUCACGUAGAUCUUUGUCUUGAUAAUCUCGAGAUUCUCUCAGUAAUUCCAUAUUUAUUUGUCUUGGUAGUGGCUCUCUGUACAUAUCAUUUUAAUUAUUAUCCUACGGUUGGUGCAUUUGAGGGAUAGUUAUGAAUGGCAAGUUUGCAGGAAGUUAUAUUAACUUGACCCUCUACCCAAUUUCAGAGUAUUUAUUCCACUUGUAGCACCUUCUUUUGGGUAAAUUACAUUGGAGGUCCCUGUGAUGCUCCGAGUCCAUAAAUUGGGUCCGCUCGAGCACGUACAACAGACCCGCCGAAUGAGUAAAGUUUUUCUUAUUUAUACAAAGUGGAACAUAUACCAAUCUGUACAAGGCAUAAAAGAUAUGGAUACAAGAAGAAUCAGAGUGGGUUUAAUUGUAAAUAGGCCGUGUUGGUUGCCUCGGGCAGUGUGAACUGACUAUGCUGGCCCUCCGGACUAAUUGUCCUAGGUUCGAUGACUCUUGUGGAACUUGAAUAAGUUUUCGAUGCGAUUAUCGACAAACUUGACUGAUCGAUCACGGUUCGGUUCAAGAUUCAUAAUAAACCAAUAUGAAUGCCCUUUUUCUGUUGUCAAGGUUUCUAAGUUGGGUGCCCUCACUAUCUUGUGCUUCCAAAGGCAGUGGGAGGAUUGCAGUGGGUUUGAAGCCGAAUCAGCACUUCUAGCAGACCCAUUGUAGCGUAGUUUUGCUAAACGCACUAUUUAGCGUCAUUAUUGCAUACUGCUACCUGGACACCCAAAUUGGUAUAUUUCGAGACAGCUAGCAAGUAGUUUAUGGUAAUGGUUGAUACCCUCUGGGACACUUCGUAAGCUAUAGAAGUGUUUUCGAUGAGUUUCCGAGAAUUUCGACAGAUUUUGAGAAUCGAUAAAAGGAACCGAUUGCCCGAAGGUAUUUGGGAAGUGAGUUAAAUGACUUUUGGGUCACUUAGGUUAGGGUUAGACUAGAGUUAUGGAGUGGUUUGUAACUCCGUGGGAUCUUUCAUAGGUCCGAGUAAUGUUUAGGAGUAUCAGCAAAGUCAUAGGUGUUUCGCCUACUUUGAGGUAGGUGCUUCAUUCUGAAGUUAUUAAAGUGGUGUCUGCUCGGUGAUUUCUUCCCUUGUCAUCUCCUUUCGAUUACAUGAUACAUUUUGAGCACUUCGUACACCAGUUUGUAGCUUAUUUGCUCUACACUUGCUUUUAUCUCGUAUUUAUCAUGAUUUAGUUAUAGAGCGGCAUUCUAUUGUGUUGGAUAUUAUUGCAUGAUUAUAUAUGGUAGAUGACCUAUUAUAUGGUUGACCUGAUUGGUCAGUGACAUAGUGAUAUCUUUGAGAUAUAGUUGACCUGAUUGGUCAGUGACUUGCUGUUGAUCUCUCUUUCUUAGCUAUCUGCCGAUGGUUGGCUAUUAAGCAUAUAAUAUCGAUCGCCUCACCUCAUGACAUUAGCGGUUUUGUCACGCCGCGAGCCUGCCACUUUGGCCGAAUUCGGGCACGCCAACAGACUGCCAAACGGACAGGGUUUCCCCUGUACCGCGGACAGAAUCUCCCCUGUACGUCCAAGGCGUCACAAUCCAAACAAUGUGCAAGGUUCCAACCAGGAACAGUAUACAACAAAGAUUGCAUAAGGAAGGUAUCGAAACAUAAAUACAACUAAAUUAUUACAAUCAUUAAUCUCACAUAUUACAUUACAUUUUCAUUCUCUUUUUAGCUUCCAAAUACAAUCCGAUUUAACAUAGUUAUUACAACUUUAUUUUUUUCAUCACUAAACCCCUAAGUAGCCGACUCAGGAUACUGCUAUUUCUGGUCUCAAUGGUAGGGCGCUAUCUACGGAGCUAUGCCCUUUCCUCGCGCAGCCGCGCCGAUCACGUGUGAACCAGUACCCCCAAAAACAACACGAGGGUGAGAACUAUUGUCCAUAGUUCCUAGCGGGUACGACCACCCAAGAAAAAAACUCAACCCACCAGGUCUAAAGGAGGCACUGCAAACAUGUUAGUCCAACAAAUAUCCACAGAUAUAUAAUGUAUGCAACUAACAAUUAUCAUGUUCAUGCCUCACAAUAUGCAAUAUGCAAAUCAUGCAACUCAUACAAGUAGAUUAAUUGGUUCUACUCUCUAUCAUUUGCCAUUCGUUAUAUUGUUAGCAAUUCUUAAUCACUUGUCAUUUUUUACUACUUGCAAUUCUUUAUUCUUUGACAUUCUUUAUUAUUAGCCACUCUUUAUCGCUAGCCGUUCUCUAACGCUAGCUAUUUCUUAUUACUAGCCGUUCUUGAUUCUUAGCCAUUCUUUAUUAUUGCUAUACUUUAGCAUUAGCCGUUUUUUAUUCUUUAUUCGUUAUUCAUUACUAAGGGUACUCACAGCUUAGCCAUAUUAUACACAUUUGCCAUUCUUUCCUAAGGUUACUUUACCUUAGCCAAUUAUGCCACUCGACUCGGUCUUGAGUCAAUCAACUGCGGAUAAUCCGCGCUCUGUCCGGCUCGAGGUGAAGGAACUCUCACAUACACCUCAGCCUUCAAUCCACAAACCACAUCGCCCAACGAGUCGCCCAGUGCUGCGUACACCUGUUGUCAGGGAUCUCCCGGUGGGAGAGGAACAUACCGCAUACACCCGCAGCCGAGACCCCCGAUAGGGAGAGGAACAUGCCACAUACACCCUAGCGCUCAAUCUCAAUCCUCGAAGUUCUUCAGGUGGGAAAAGAACAUGCCAGAUACACCGGCGGCCAAGAAAUAUCGAGCUCAUAUACUGCACUAGCAGCCACUGCACUCGCAGCCGAGAUUCCGAAAUCCACUUUCACAACUCUAGGGUUGGCCUCACCCUAUAGUAUCGGCCUAUCUAGGUCCAAGCAUUUACUCAACCUAAGUUUAAUACAUUAGGUUCGUUGCCACUAUACUCAUAGCCUAGGUUCAUUAACACUAGGUUCCAUAUUCUUACUACCUAGGUUCAUUUGGCUCUAGGUUCAAUGUCACUAUAUUCAUAACCUAGGUUUACUUGACUCUAGGUUCAAUUCUUAACCUAUGUUUAAUACAUUAGGUUUUAUUGCCACUCGUGUUCUUGUUUUCGUAGUUGUCCACACCUAGAAAUUAUACUUGACAUCCACUCAUGAAUCACCUAUGUUCAAUGACACUAGGUUUUAUUGCUACUCUUGUCCUUAUUAUUUAUACUUAGGAUUCUUAGUUUACAAGCUAUACUUGUCGAGUUCUUUACUCUACUUAGAGUUCAUCGAUCUAAGUUCUCAUUCUCCAAGGAUGGUCCAUACACAACAGUACUUGCAUUCAUGUAGCAUUUAGUUUAUGCACUAACUUAGUAUAUACUCUAUGCAUUCAUUUACACUUUUCGCAUGCAUUUAUUAAUAGCAUCUUAAUCAUGCAUUUAUAUAAUAUCUAUGUCAUUCAUGUUAUUUAGCAUCUAGCUCAUGUAUUUUGCUAACAUGUCUCAUGCAUUCAUUUGCACCUAUCACAUGCAUUCUUUAGCCUCCACUUCAUGCACUUAUGUAUCUUCUCAUGGUAGGUAAUAACAUCAAGCAUUAUAUGAUUUAUGUACUACAUAUUAUCACAUACAACCUACCAACUACACAUGCAUCAACAAUAUUCACACUUCACUUUGGCAUGAAAGUGAGCUAAACAUUUCGGUGAGCACAACCCACCUCAAAUUGCUUUUCGAUUGCUUGUAGUCACUUGCAAUCAGCCUCCCGCAGCACACGUUGCCCGGUUCGGCCCGAACUCACACUCGACCACCAAACGACCACCAAUCUACAAUUCGAAAAUUUAAUGUCUAUAACUUGAUGCCACGAUGCUCCGGAUCCGUUCUUGUGAUUUUUGGACGUCGCCUCGGCCCUCCAGGCGGAAACGAAGCCAAAACGUCUGUUUCUUCAAUAUCUUCAGGUAGGCUCGACGAAUCGCCGAACCGACUUCGCCAACGCUUCGGAAAUACCUUCAAUUAGGUUUAUUUAGGGUCAAUUUACAUUUAGACCCAUCUAUGACAAAAGCCCCAAUUUUGAUGCCCUAACAAUGUCAUUUGGCCAAUAUACAAUUUUGAUCUCUAAAACAAGCAAAUGCAAGCUUGUUGAACCUCUAGGAAUCCAUCUAGAACCAUUUAAAUCAUUCUUAGGAUGUUUAGAACAAACACUAGAAAUCCACCAUGAGAGCACUAUGAAGAAAAUAUGGUUUUCAUGUGUUCCAUGGCCACUACUAGGUUUCCUCUCAUGUAAGAAGAAGAUCAAAACCAAGUGUUCUAGGGUAUAAAACUAAACCCUAAGAUCAAUCUUAGAAGAAACCUCAUCUUAGCCUAUGGACUCCACAAGCUCCACCUUGUAGGAGAGCUUUAGAUCUUCCAAUCUCCAAAAUCUCCUCCAAAUCCUCCUCUUGAUUUCCUCCUUUCCACCUUGGAGGAGAGUUUCUAGAGAGAGAGAGAGGGAGAAAAUGGGAGAGGAGAUGAGUUCUCAGCUGGGAAUAAGAGAAAAGAGGGGUUGGGGGCUUAUAUAGGCUGUUACAUUUGCAAAUAAGUCCUCCUUCUUUUCACAUUUGCAGCAGACCAACCUGCUGUUUUCGCAGCAUUGUGUACCGGUACACAUAAGGGGUGUCACCGGUAACACGAUCUCGCAGAACCAAACCCGAGAGCAGCUUCUCGGGUUUUUACACUGUGUACUGGUACCUUUUUAAUCUGUCACCGGUUAACAGUCUUUUUAGGACUUAGCCAAUUUUUUCAGCUUUUCUUCGUUUUCGCUCGUUUUCGCUCGUUAGGCCUCCGAUUCAUCUCAAAUGGCACCGAGACCCCCGAAACAAGUUUUCGAGCGUGUUUCAACCAUCUUUUCAUCCAUGCUUAUGUCUGAUUUUGUCCAUGGUCCCACAUAGCUUUUCGGGCUCCGUUUUCACGCCCAACGCACACCGAAACACCCGAAUGCUCCCGAACUUCAAUCUCGUAUUGUUUUGACUCCAAUUUGCGCUGAGCAAUGCUAAAACCUUUCCAACUCCCUUGGAACUCAACUUUAACCUUUCCAAUAUUGUUGGAAUGUUAAAUAGACUUUGUCUAACUAUUCCUUUCGCACACUUUAGUUAAUUUGACUAACGUUCGAUAUUCUCUACCGAGUUUCGGUAUGUUACAGGUUUGGUCACUGCAAUGGUGUUCUUUUUUGAAAAAGUGAUCAUAUUUUCAUCCCGUAAGCCCUAUGCAGGUUAUUUGCUAGGGUUAUAUACCGAUAGGUGAGCAGAUUAGGGCAUUGUCUGAGGUCAUUAAACCAACAUGGCGGUUUGAUUAUGUAUAUUUAGACUGUUCAUCCGGUUGAUGUGUAUUUGCAUUUAAUAUUACAGUAGUAAUUAGUUCUAUAUCUGUUGAUUUGUUUCCUUUCAGCUCGUUAUUGCUAUUGUCUUUGUUAUACCUAUUCAUAUAAGUUGAUUACUAUCUCUUAUUUGCCGGUGAGUAUAGCUUGCCUUUGUCGGCUUGCGUUACCCACUGGAAAACAUGUAAACAUGUUUCUGACCCCCUGUUUGUACAGGCGACAUGUGAGAUGAGGGUUGAGAUGGUGCGUGAGAUUGGCACUAGAUAGUUGUGUCCCAAAUCUAAUCGCCGAUGACUUUUAUUUCCUAUAUUCCUUUCAAUUUACUAUCAGUUCAGUAUGGUUAGUUCAUUGGUUUAGAUUCAUUUUGGUUUAGUUUUAGUUCAUUAUGUAUUUAUUAAUAAUGAUGAAAUAAUUGUGGUUUAUUUAUCCGGUCAAUUACUUGUCAUAUGGAUUAUCGUUGGAUGAUUAGCUUUAUUCUGUUAUUACUCUACAAUAGAUGUUUAGUUAUACACAUUCUGUACCAAUCUGCUAGUUGUUUGUAUUGUAUUCUGUGUAGUUGUAUGUGUGGUUGAUGUUGUAUUGCAGGUGCUACAUCGUGAAUGUAUAGGAAAAAUUCUGUCCAUUUGUACAGAGGACCUUUUGUCUAUGUUGCGAGUCUACACAUGUUUUAGGGUGGUGCCUUUGGUGAUCGUUUUUAAAAAGUUUACACAUUUUUCGCUGAUUUCCGUAAAAAGGAUUUUACAAAAAAAACCCCGGGGUGUGAUAGGUGAUCCUUGAUAUUCUUAGAACUUCAAGAAAAUCCUAAAAAGGAGUUUUAACCGAGUUAGAACCCUCAAAUCUCACAUUUGAGAAAACUCCAAAAAAAACCCUAAAAACACCAAUUCACAUCUUCUCUUCUAACAAGAGAAACGUGGGUGAAGUAGACCUCUUCUCCCUUUUAGAACUUCCUUUUGAAGCCUUUUAUCUUCUGGAAGCCUCCAACCAAGUGGAUCUUCAAGAUCCAACGAUAGGGAUUUUAGGACACUGUUGCUUGAGGAAGAGAGGAGAAAGAGAGAGAGGUUGGAAGGGGGAAAUAGGUUGGAAAAUUAGGGUUUGUUGUGAAAACCCUAUUUAUAGAGGUGCUAUAAUAGCACAAAAUUUCUCAACCUUUCAAAUUGCAACCAGACAAAUCAAUGCUUUUAUGCUAGGUUUGGGUCCCUCGCCCGAACUUUUGUGUGCCCGAAUCUGUCGUAGUUGUGUCCGGUCCAGAAUCUGGAUGCCCACUCAACCUGCCUGAUUCACGAAUUGUACGCCCGCAGGAGAAAUCGGGCGUUUGAUUCCAUAAUUCUUCACGCGAACUUGCACUCUUGGGUUGAGCAUCCAAAAAUCAUUCGGGCGCCCACAAGGGAUCGCCGAAAAGUUGUUUUGGACGCCUACAGGGCAUUUCGGACGCUUGAAAACAAAGUCUUUCGCAUUCCAGUGCUCAGGUUGGGAGUCCGGAGGGGUUUCGAGCGCUCUCGAGUGAGAUUCGAAAUGAUUUGAGUGCCCACUGGGCAAUCUGUGUGCCUAAAAUUGGGCCUCCCACCAACUCUGCUCUCUGGAAAAGCGUCUACUCAUUCCGAGCACUGCAUCAAGCUGUUCAAAACUAUUUCAAGUGCCCAAAUCUCUGCUCCAGGCAUUCAAAAGGAUUGGUACUCAAUUUUCUUCUAUUUCGGAACUCUGUUUCGAUACUAAUUGAUUCCAAUACAAUCCAAACUCAGUCUAGAUUCCUUUAAGGCCACUUUAUUCAUGUCUAACAUAACUCAAUUAACACUUUGUCAUUUUAGCCAAAGUUUGGUGCAUCAGGAAAAGAGAUGUGAGAAGGGGUUGGCUAUCAAAAAGUUAUUUAUAGGUGUGCUAUAUUUGCACAUGAACCCUCCAAUUAAUCAUAUUUAAUUUAGGAUUUGCUAUAGAUAAAGGUCAAUCCUAACAGAUUUAGAACUACUUGAUAUGGUAUAUUUUAUCCCUAUCCCAUCUAUUUCAGAUUUAAAUAGAAUCCUAAUCAGAUUUUCAUGGGAAGUCGAUCUGGACUCUAUAUAAAGGUGUAUUAGUUCUGGCAUCUUCUCAUACGCAUUCUGGUGAAGAAUUACCGUCGGUUCCACACCAUACGGUAGAGUGCCUGAGAUAGGAGGAGAAACCAAAUCACCCAAGUUCGGUUCGUGACUUUCAAAUCAUAGCCUGACUUCACGUUUCCGCAAGUUGAUCAGGAAUUUCUUCUCGAUGGCGCUCUGUGAGUUAUCUUAUAUUCUUGUUUUGAUCCUGGAUUUUGGUAUGUAUUUAUUUCUCUAUUUAUUUUACAUACCUUAAAUUUCUAUCAAUUUGGUAUCAGAGACAUGUUCAAAAAUUAAUACUUUUUGCGCAAUAUUUAAUUGCAUAGAAAAUUAUUAAUAUGCCUAACGUGCAUAUCAUAGUUUAUAUUCAUCUCCCAUAACUAUGGAAUUAUUCAUCGUCGUGGACAUGCAUAAAAUUUAAUUGUUUAAUCUCGCGGUGGCCGCAUGCUCCGGCCACCUGUUUAAUUGUUGAUCUCACGGUGGCGGCAUACUUUGGCCGCGUGUUCGCAUGUAUAAAGUUUAAUUGCUACGUGCAUCGUCCGAAAGAUUGACGCCGAUGAAUAGUAUAAAUUUUGUUAUGAUUCGGUUGUAGUUCAUAGACUAAUUAAUUAAUACCAACUUUAUUUUGCAUGUGCGUUUUACUCCUAUAUUUGGCUCGCAUCAAGUUAUAAUCUGAUAUGGCCGUAUGAACCAUGACGAUGGUGGAAUUCUCAGCCUACAUGUUUUUUGUGGGCACGGAAACUUUUGCGUAUGAGCGUAUGACUCAUGUUGAGAAUAAUCAGUUUGCCACGUCACAUGUCAUGGCCAGGAUAAUUUUGUUGUGCGUACGGCUUUUCUUCUUGAUGCGUGCUAAUUAUAUAUUAAUUAUUUGUUAAUUAAUGAUGUUUCGAUUCAUAAAGACAUUAUGUUUUAUAAUGUGAUGUGGAUAUGUAGAAUUUGUUCACAUAAGAUUUUAAUCUCGCAUUAGUUUAUUUUAUAUCUGUGGUCAAAUUAGAAUAUAUAAAGUUUAAAUUUGAUUGCGAUUUUAUAUUUUAAAUUAUCGCAUUUAUAUUCAUAUUUUGACUAGAUGAACAUGAAAUUUAAAUAAUCAUAAUUAUUUUCGAUUAUUUAAUAUUUGGCACUAAGUUAAAUUAAUUUAUUUUUUUGAUUGGUUAGGUGCAAGCCAAAGUGGCCCUAAUUAAAAGAAAUAAUGAUUUCAUUUACUUUAAAGUAGCGUUUCCGGAUAAUUUUUAUGUUAAUUAUGCAGCACUAAGUCAGAUUAAUUUAUUGCUUCGACUGUUCGGGUGCAGGCCAAAGCGGCCCCGACCGGAAGAAAAGAUAAAUUAAUUACUUUAAAGAAGUGCAUGCGAAAAUUGCACCCUGAUAUUAUGUUUAGUCUGCUUCCAAAGGAGGUCUAGACAUGAAGGUAAAUGGGUGGUAUAGGAUGGUAAUUUUCUUGUAACUCGUUUGGAGAAAUUUGUCUGGCCAACGCUGACAAUUUCUUCAUGUGGAAAAUUUGAAAUUAUCACGACCUACAGAAAGUUUAAAUUAAUCUCUGAUAAACAGAUUGCAUAUUUAUGCUCAUAACUCUGCUCCCAAAGGAGGGGUUGUGAUGUCAUAUAAAGUAUAUGCGUAAGGAAUGAUUGCAUAUUUAUGCUCAUAACUCUGCUCCCAAAGAAGGGCUUGUGAUGUCAUAUAUAGCAUAUGCAUAAAGAACGAAAAAAUACUUAUGUUCAUAACUCUGCUCCCAAAGGAGGGGUUGUGAUGUCAUAUAAAGUGUAUUUGUUUAAUUUUGGUGUGGUAAUUUAUUAUGUGGUAUUUUAUUAAUAAAGCAUGCAUUUUAUUUUUCAGCUAUGACUCCAUUUUCUGUUCCUAUUGGUGAAUCUGUUCCUAUACUUAAUGGUUCUAAUUAUUCAGAGUGGAAAGAACAGAUCAUAUUUAUUUUGGGCUAUAUGGAUUUAAAUUUGGCUCUGUGUGCUGAGCAACCGCCUAAGAUAGUGAGGCCAAUGACUCCACAGCAGGAAUCCGUACAGGAAAAGUGGGAGUGAUCCAACCGCUUAAGUUUGAUGCUCAUAAAGUCAAGGAUAUCAAAAAGCAUAAGGGGAUCAAUCCCAGAAUGUGAUAAAGCCAAGGAUUAUCUAAAGGCCGUUGAGGAGCAGUUUGUCAGCUCCGAUAAAGCCUUUGCGAGCACCUUAAUGAAUAAACUGUCUUCCAUGAAAUACUCCGGAAAUGGCUCGAUUCGCGAGCAUAUUAUGGAAAUGCGAGAUAUUGCAGUGCAACUCACCGCACUUGAAGUAACUGUGACGCCCCGACUUCCCAGGGGGUCACCCAUCCUAGGACUACUCCCGUCCUAGCACGCUUAACUCUCUUAACCUCUUGGGCCUUACCACCACCCAAAAUGCUUAAGCCGGAUUAAGAGUUUAGCCCUAUUAUAUCUCAUAUAUAGGACUAUCUGGGGUCUCACAGUAACCAUCUCUGAUUCAUUCUUAGUGCACUUUAUUUUGAACUCUUUGCCAUCUGAAUACGAACCAUUUCAGAUAUCUUAUAACACACAUAAAGAUAAAUGGUCAAUUAAUAAAUUGCUGACCAUGUGUGUGCAAGAGGAAGGCGGAUUAAUACAAGAGAAACAAAAUACAGCCAACUUUGUUUCUCAAAGAGAUAAAUAAAGCGUGCGAAGAAUGGCAAGGGCAAGAAUGACUCAAAAAGAAAGAACAAGAAAGUUCCAUCUGGUUCACAAGGCCAAUCAAGUAAUUGGACUCUCAAGUGCUUCUUUUGUAAGAAAAAGGGUCAUAUAAAGAAUGACUGCCAAAAGUAUCAAAAAUGGCUCCAGAAGAAAGGUAAAUUUCUGGUUUUGAUGCAUGAGUUGCAUUUAGUUUCAGUUCCAUCAAUACUUGGUGGAUUGACUCUGGUGCCACAUGCCACGUGGCAAAUUCCGUGCAAGGAUUUCAGAAUCGCAGAAAAUCCAGUAAAGAUGAAGCGACUAUCUAUACAGCUGAAGGAAAUCCAACUAAAGUAGAAUUUGUAGGAACAUUUAGAUUAGUUCUUUCUACUGGUUACAUUUUGGAUUUAGUUGAUACAUUUUAUGUUCCAAAUUUUUCUAAGAAUUUAAUUUCUAUUUCGAAACUUGUUGGAUUGGGAUAUAGUUUCAGUUUUAAUAAUAAAGUUUUUUCUUUAUCCUAUAAAUCUCAGAUAGUUGGCUCUGGUGUUUUGGAAAAUAAUCUAUAUAAAAUAUUUUUGGAUGAUUCAUAUAGUGAAAUCUUUCUUACCAUGCACAGAAAUGUUGGAUCAAAAACGUGGCAUUAACAAUGAAAGGUCAUCCAUGUUAUGGCACAAGAGGUUAGGACAUAUCUCGAAACAGAGAAUCCAAAGGUUAAUUAGAGAAGACAUUUUAGAUGAUUUGGACUUCUCUGACUUUGAAAUAUGUGUGGACUGCAUAAAGGGAAAGCAGACCAAAACUUCCUCUAAAGGUACUAAAAGAUGUGAUGGAACAUUAGAGUUGAUUCAUACCGAUAUAUGCGGACCUCCUUUUGUUUCAAUUACUGGCCAUAAAUAUUUUAUCACAUUCACUGAUGACUACUCUCGAUAUGGCUAUCUCUACUUGCUUAAAGAAAAAUCUGAAGCAUUAAAUGCCUUUAAGGCAUAUAAGACUAAAGUAGAGAAUCAACACGAGAAAAGGAUAAAAGUAGUCAGAUCAGAUAGGGGUGGUGAAUAUUUUGGUAGACAAACAGAUAAAGGCCAAAUCCCUGGGCCUUUUGCUAAAUUUCUAGAGCAGUGCGGAAUUGUUCCACAGUACACCAUGCCAGGAACACCUGACCAGAAUGGUGUUGCUGAAAGAAGAAACCGCACAUUAAUUGAUAUACUCAAGAGUAUGAUUAGUAAUUCUACCCUUCCGAUAUCAUUGUGGAGUGAGGCACUCAAAAUAGCCCUGUAUAUUCUUAAUUGGAUCCCUACUAAGGCUGUCACUAAGACUCCUUUUGAGUUUUGGAUAGGUAGGAAACCCAGUUUAAGACAUUUUCAUACUUGGGGUUGUCAAGCUGAGGCCAAAUUAUAUGAUCCACAAAUAAAGAAAUUGGAUCCUAGAACCAUAUCAGGAUAUUUUAUUGGCUAUUCAGAAAGAUCCAAGGGGUAUAAGUUUUACUGUCCAUCACUUUCUAUAAAGAUUGCAGAAACUAAAAUAACACGGUUUAUUGAGGAUGGUGCAAUUAGUGGGAGCUUUGAACCUUGGUUCAAUGAGUUUGAGGAAAUUCAAGAACAUUCGGAUUCUGUACAUGAUAGACCCACUAUUGUCCCUCUCGAUUUGAUGGUUCCUAUUCCAGUAGAACAACAAAUCGUUUUGGAACCACAAAAUCAUUGUGAACCUAUCAUUGAUAAUUCACAUCAAUAUGUACAAAUGGAAAAUUCACAUCAAAUGUACAAGUGAAUAAUCCAUAUCAAGAUGUACAUGUGGAUAAUCAUAUAGAUUUAAGAAGAUCCUCAAGACAGAGAAGACCGGCUAUAUCCAGUGAUUAUAUCGUCUAUCUUUAUAAGAAUGGCCAGAGUUUAGAUGAUCCUCUUAAUUUUUCCGAAGCCAUAAAUAGUAAUAAUUCUACGGAAUGGUACAAUGCCAUGAAGGAUGAGAUAGAAUCCAUGAACCACAAUAAGGUGUGGGAUCUUAUUGAGUUACCUAUAGGAGUUAAACCCAUAGGAUGCAAAUGGGUUUAUAAAAUCAGAUGGGACUACAAAGGUAACAUAGAGAGAUACAAAACCCGUCUUGUGGCAAAAGGAUUUACUCAGAAAGAAGGUAUUGACUAUAAAGAGACUUUUUCUCCACUAUCUAGAAAGGAAUCUUUCCGUAUUAUUAUGGCUCUGGUUGCUCAUUUUGAUCUCGAGCUAUAUCAGAUGGAUGUCAAAACUGCUUUUUAAAUGGGGAUCUCUAUGAAGAGGUGUAUAUGUAUCAACCUGAAGGAUUCUCGCAAAAGGGAAAGGAGCACUUGGUAUGCAAAUUAAAGAAAUCAAUAUAUGGACUAAAGCAGGCCUCCCGACAAUGGUAUUUAAAUUUAAACAAACUAUUUUAACUUUUGGUUUUAAGAAAAACAUUGUUGAUCAAUGUAUUUAUUUAAAAGUUAGUGGGAGUAAAAUAAUUGUCUUUAGUCAUUUAUGUUGAUGAUAUUUUGCUUGCCAGUAAUGAUCUUGGGCUAUUGCAUAACACUAAAGAAUUUCUUUUCCAAAAUUUUAAAAUGAAAGAUUUAGGUGAGGCCUCAUAUGUUCUUGGUAUUGAAAUCAAAAGGGAAAGACAUAAAGGUUUACUCAGUCUAUCUCAAAAGGCCUACAUAAAGAAAGUUUUGAAAAAUUUUGAAAUGCAUAAUUGUAAGCCCAGUGUUGCUCCUGUCCAGAAAGGGGAUAAGCUUAAUUCUUUUCAGUGUCCCAAGAACCAAUUAGAAAUUGAACAGAUAAAAAACAUAUCCUAUGCCUCUACAGUUGGUAGUCUUGUGUAUGCACAAUUGUGCACACGUCCGGAUAUUGCUUUUGCCAUUGGAUUAUUUGGCAGAUAUCAAAGUAAUCCAGAUAUGAAGCAUUGGAAGGCUACUAAGAAGGUUGUGAGGUAUUUGAAGGAAAUUUUGGAUCAUAUUGCAUGUUACGAUACCACAUCACAGGCUUUUUGGCUUAGGAGUUUUAUCACAGACUUAAGAAUUGUGGACUCCGGUGUUUAUCCAAUAAAGAUUUUCUGUGAUAGUUCAGCUGCGAUUUCCUUUGCAAAUAACAACAAGAUUACAGUGGGGUGUAAACACUUGGACACUAAAUUUCUUGUUGUGAGAGAGAAGAUAGAUGAAGGUUAUAUUACAAUUAAAUACAUCAGUACCAAGUGAAUGAUUGCAGACCCAAUGACCAAGGGGUUGGCACCUGGGUCAUAUACGGAUCAUGUUAGAAAUAUGGGCUUGAUUAGUUCUUUCGAUGUAUAAAAUUGUAAUACUUAUUUUCUUUCAAUAAAGUUAAAGUUUAAUGCAGCUGUGUUGGACCAUUUAAUAGAUGUAAAAUUUCGUCUAUUAACGAAUGAAUAUACAGUUUAAGUUCAUUCAUAAAGUUGUGUCAUAUAAAGUACUCGGCUAGAAGGUGAAGAUGAUACGGUAAUUAUGGAAGAAAAUUUUCGUUAUGAAGAGGUGGACCGCCAUAGUUCCUAUCAUUGUAGUCUUUUAGUUUGAGCUAAAGAUCAAGCGAGUUCUAAGGUAUUUGACCAUAAAGUUUCCAAUAAUGCGCAAUAGAGAUUGGAGUAUAGAAAAUCGGUUAAUGGAAUAUGAUUAAUAUGAGCUAAGUGGGAGAUUGUUAGGAUUUCUAUAUAUUGUGGCCCAAUUAAUCAUAUUUAAUUCAGGAUUUGCUAUAGAUAAAGGUCAAUCCUAACAGAUUUAGAACUACUUGAUGUGGUAUAUUUUAUCCCUAUCACAUCUAUUUUAGAUUUAAAUAGAAUCCUAAUCAGACUUUGAUGGGAAGUCGAUCUGGACUCUAUAUAAAGGGGUAUUGGUCCUGCCACCUUCUCAUACGCAUUCUGGUGAAGAAUUCCAUCGGUUCCACACCAUACGGUAGAGUGUCUGAGAUAGGAGGAGAAACCAAAUCACCCAAGUUCGGUUCGUGACUUUUAGAUCAUAGCCUGACUUCACGCUUCCGCAAGUUGAUCAGGAAUUUCUUCUCGAUGGCGCUCUGUGAGUUAUCUUAUAUUCUUGUUUUGAUCCUGGAUUUUGGUAUGUAUUUAUUUCUCUAUUUAUUUUACAUACCUUGAAUUUCUAUCAGAUCCUUGAUAUUCUUAGAACUUCAAGAAAAUCCUAAAAAUGAGUUUUAACCGAGUUAGAACCCUCAAAUCUCACAUUUGAGAAAACUCCAAAAAAAACCCUAAAAACACCAAUUUACGUCUUCUCUUCUAACAAGAGAAACGUGGGUGAAGUAGACCUCUUCUCCCUUUUAGAACUUCCUUUUGAAGCCUUUUAUCUUCUGGAAGCCUCCAACCAAGUGGAUCUUCAAGAUCCAACGAUAGGGAUUUUAGGACACUGUUGCUUGAGGAAGAGAGGAGAAAGAGAGAGAGGUUAGAAAGGGAAAAUAGGUUGGAAAAUUAGGGUUUGUUGUGAAAACCCUAUUUGUAGAGGUGCUAUAAUAGCACAAAAUUUCUCAACCUUUCAAAUUGCAACCAGACAAAUCAAUGCUUUUAUGCUAGGUUUGGGUCCCUCGCCCGAACUUUCGUGUGCCCGAAUCUGUCGUAGUUGUCCGGUCCAGAAUCUGGAUGCCCACUCAACCUGCCUGAUUCACGAAUUGUACGCCCGCAGGAGAAAUCGGGCGUUUGAUUCCAUAAUUCUUCACGCGAACUUGUACUCUUGGGUUGAGCAUCCAAAAAUCAUUCGGGCGCCCACAAGGGACCGCCGAAAAGUUGUUUCGGACGCCUGCAGGGCAUUUCGGACGCUUGAAAAUAAAGUCUUUCGCAUUCCAGUGCUCAGGUUGGGAGUCAGGAGGGGUUUCGAGCACUCUCGAGUGAGAUUCGAAAUGAUUUGAGUGCCCACUGGGCAAUCUGUGCGCCUAAAAUUGGGCCUCCCACCAACUCUGCUCUCUGGAAAAGCGUCUACUCAUUCCGAGCCCUGCAUCAAGCUGUUCAAAACCAUUUCAAGUGCCCAAAUCUCUGCUCCAGGCAUCCGAAAGGAUUGGUAUUCAAUUUUAUUCUAUUUCGGAACUCUGUUUCGAUACUAAUUGAUUCCAAUAUAAUCCAAACUCAGUCUAGAUUCCUUUAAGGCCACUUUAAUCAUGUCUAACAUAACUCAAUUAACACUUUGUCAUUUUAGCCAAAGUUUGGUGUAUUAGGAAAAGAGAUGUGAGAAGGGGUUGGCUGUCAAAAAGUUAUUUAUAGGCAUGCUAUAUUUGCACAUGAACCCUCCAAUUCGUCAAAUUUGCAUUUAAAAGGAUUGCUGCCUCCACACCAGGUUUCAAGCGCCCGCUUGAUCUUUCUGGCCGGCAGGUUUACUCUGGGAUCCCGAAUUGAGCAUUGGAAAAUUGAUCUAGGUGCCCACCCAACCAUCUUGUAGUAGAUUCAGAUGCCCAUAAGGCAAACUGGGCUACCGAAUAUUUAAUGAUUCGAGCGAUCCAUCCUCUCAGGUAGAUCAUCCGGAAGCAAAAUUAAUCAUCCGUGAGAUAGCCUGAAUGAUUUCGGACACCCCCAGAAAGAUGCGAAUGCCCGAAUAUUUAACAGUCUACGCACCUUUGCUCUCGGGUAUAGUGUCCGCUAAGAAACGGGUGCUCGAUUGAACGAUCCGUAAGUCUUCGAGCACCCGAAAUAUUUUUCAUGCAUCCGGAAAGACUGGAAAAUUUAUUUCCUCUUUUUUUGAAGCCCGGAGUCGGUCCUAAUUGGUUCCAACUCUCAUCUCACUCAAUCUAGACUUCUCCAAAUCUAUUUUAACCAUGUCUAGCAUGAUCUUAAACCUCAUUUUGCCUAUUAGGCCAAACUUCAGUGUAUCUUACUGAAUUUCAGUAUAUUACAUCUACAUAUUGAAAUUUUAUAAUAGUUAAAUCAAUCAACUCUUACAUCAUAUUCUUGUAUUUUUUAAAUUUUAAAUUUUAAAUUUUAAAUUAUUAUUUUUAAUUAUCUAAAUUUUAAAUUUGACAUUUUAUAUUUGUAACUUGAGAUUUGAUUUAAAAUUUAAAAUUUAAAAGUUAUAACUUUAUUUUUAAAUUUGAGAUUUAAAAAUAUAGAUUUUAAUUUUGAAUUUUUUAGUUGUAAAAGUUAUCUAUUUAAAUUUAAAAAUUUAAAUAUAAAAUAAAAAAAUUUAAAUAUAAAAUAUAAUAAUUGGGGCAAUAUUAUUAUUUUCUAUUUAUAACUAUCCACUAUUUUUCUUAUUCUAUCUUAUUUAUCCAAACGCUAUUUUUCUUAAUCCUGGAAACAACUCAAUUAUCAUCCAAACGCAAAAUUGGUCUAUUCCAGACUUAACCCUAAACUUAACCAUCUCUAAAAUAACUAGUUCUUACUUAACUCCGAACCAAACGAAGCCUUAGGGGUUAAUUUCAUACAGGUCCCUACAAAUAUAGUGAAUUGCAAAUAUAUCCCUUAUAAAGUUCAACUUUCAUAUGUUGUCACUACAAAAGUCCUGAUGUUUUCAAAUAUAAUCCUGCCGUUAGAAUCCGUUAGAAAGUUUUAGUUAACCACAUAGGUUAAAUACCGAACCCUGAUUAUUAAUAAGGUGAAUUGACCUUUUUACCAUUUUCAAUUAACAUAGAGGGAUAUAUUUGUGAUGGUAAAAAGGCUAUUUUACUUAUAAAAUAGACAGUGCCUUAACGGUAACAAACCAGAGGGACAUAUUUAAAAAUAUUAGGGAAAACUUCAAAAACCCCCCUGUGGUUUCACACUUUUUCAUUUUAGUACCCUGUGGUUUGAAGUGUAUCAAGUUAGUACCCUGUGGUUUCUCACUUUAUCACUUUAGUACCCUGUGGUUUAAAAUGUAUCAAGCUAGUACCCUGUGGUUUUGCACUUUAUCACUUUAGUACCCUGUGGUUUCACACUUUAUCACUUUAGUACCUUGUGAUUUAAAAAACUAUAGGGUACUAACUUGAUACAAAAUUAAAACCACAGGGUACUAAAGUGAUAAAGUGCAAAACCACAGGGUACUAACUUGAUACACUUUAAACCACAGGGUACUUAAGUGAUAAAGUGAGAAACCACGGGGUACUAACUUGAUACAUUUUAAACCACAGGGUAUUAAAGUGAAAAAAAUUGAAACCACAAGGGGGGUUUUUGAAGUUUUCCCAAAAUAUUAUAACUUUUGUAUAGACAACAUAUGAAAGUUGAACUUUGUAGGGAUAUAUAUUUGCAAUUUGCUAUAUUUGUAGGGACCUGUAUGAAAUUAAUCCAAAAACUAUAUAGUGUUGCUAAAAUCCUAAUAACCUUUAGAUUAACAAUUGUAAUCUUUACAUCUUCUUUUUGAUUGUAGACUUGGGAUUCAUUUGGGAUUUGCUGGGAGAUUGUAUUACGCACGGUGGAAAAGUAAAAAAAUAAAAAAUAAAAAAAUAUUUUUUUGUAUGGCAUUCUGCAUAUCAUAAUAAAUCGGGUAUGAUAUAUUUUGUGCGAUACCACCAGAGAAAGCUGAAGCAUGUCUCUAUAUUCUUUCAUUUUAUUCAUCUAUUAAUCUUAGAUGGGCCUCAACACCAAACUUAAGUAUUUCUCUUAAAUUUUUACGAUGAAAAUGUAUGAAGCCCCCUCACCUCUAGGCCAUUCUAAAAUGAGCAUCCUCUAUUCUAAUUUUUUUUUGUUUUAACAAUCGAGUAAUUUUUAUCAACUAAAUUGGAAAUUUUAUCAAAUUUGUGGCGAUUUUAGCAAAUUUAAUGGUUUUGAUCACUAUUACCCAAAUGAGACUAGAAAAGUCAACAACCCAUGGCUACCGGUCAACUUAAAACUUGAGGAGGGUGUCAAUAAAAUAAAAAGUAAAAAUUAGAAGUUGAGGGGGCCAUUUCAAAAUUAGAAUAUAUUUUCCCCCUUAAACACUAGACACUGCAAGUAAACAAGUAAAAACUCUGAUCAGUGCAAAGAUUAAGGCAACCCUCAUUGUCUCAAAGUUAGAAUAUUUUUACCCCCAUAAUUUAUGCCACCACACACUACACAAGAUUUUUUUUAAUUAAAUUUGGCAAUUUCUUUUUCCAUUUAAAUCCUAAUUCUCCCUUUCCACAUUCUGUUUCUCUCCAUUUUCUUGCUACUCUCCCUCUCUCUCUCUCAAAUUAAAAAAAAAAAAAAAAAAAAAAAAAAAAAAAAAAAAAAAAAAAAAAAAAUAAGAAUCUAUUAUAUAGAUAGAUAUUGAAGUUAUAUCUCGGAUUCCAAAAAAAGAGAAUCAUUUCUUUCAAUACUCACUUAUUAUUAGUUAACAAUCCUAAUCCUCAUAUGCUUAAUUCUGAUAGGAAAUAAAUAGUAAAAUAAUUAUUCAUCGAAUGACUAUUCAUCUAUUGUAUUUUCAUCAAAUAGGGGCAGAAAGUUCUAUGAAAAAUGGUGGUUCAAUUCGAUGUUGUCUAACGAAAGUUAGGCAAUUUUUUAUUAAAUAAAAAAUAUAAUAAUAAAAAUAAAAAAUAAAAAAACAAAAAAAACAAAUAUAAAAAGAAAAAAAUAAACACAAAUAAAAAUAGAAAAAAAAACAAAAAAAAAAAUAAAAAAAAAAAAAAAAAAAAAAAAAAAAAAAAAAAAAAAAAGAAAAAAAAAAAAAAAAAAAAAAAAUAAAAAACAAAAAAAAAAAAAAAAAACAAAAAAAACAAAAAAUAAAAUAAGAAAAUAUAGAAUAAUAAAAAUAAAUAAUAAUUAAAAAAAAUAAAAAAAAAAAAAAGAAACAAUAAAAAAAAAAAAUAAAAAAAAAAAAAAAAAAAAAAACAAAAUUUUUUUCAAUUAAAAUACAAAUUUUCAUCGAAAAGAGAAAUAGUUUAUAAAUAAAGAAUUCGUUCUCGCAUAACCUUGUAUCAUAUAAUCAAAUAAUAAGUUUAUAUUGCAACAUGGAACGAAAAAGACAAUAUACAGGAUGAGUAGAUUGGAUAGAGGGAGCCCUUACCUUAGCUUAAUCUAAGGCCUGAAACUACGAGAUAUAAAAUGAUCCACUAAUCCUAUGGAUCCUUAGGAUUAAUUAUGGAUUGGAUCCAAAAAUAAAGAAAUAUUGAGUUGUUUCGUCUUCGUUCUAUUUAGAUCUUGUAUAUACUUGUAUAUUGUAUAUACUUGUAUAUAUAGUAUAUAGGUCUGUACAUGUGAUAUGAAAGAUAUAUGCAAAUAUAUAGUAUGUUAUGUUAGUAAGCUCAUUCUUUAUUUUAUUCGGCUCAAUCCUUUUUUUUAGGAAAAGAUUGGGCCGAGUUUAAUUGCAAUCAAUUAGGAGAACAAAGAGGAAUUACUAAACUCUACACGCUUAGUUUUUAUCUUUCUAUUUCGUUUUAUCUAGCUUAUCUACCGGUUCGAAGUCGAAUUUAAUCUGUUUCCAUACUUCACAAGCAGCGGCUAGCUCAGGGCUCCAUUUGCUAGCUUCACGGAUAAUUUCAGCACCUUCACGAGCAAGAUCACGUCCUUCAUUACGAGCUUGUACACACGCUUCUAAAGCCACCCGAUUAGCUACUGCACCAGGUGCAUUUCCCCAAGGGUGCCCUAAAGUUCCUCCACCAAACUGUAGUACGGAAUCAUCUCCAAAGAUUUCGGUAAGAGCAGGCAUAUGCCAAACAUGAAUACCCCCUGAAGCCACAGGUAUAACACCUGGCAUAGAGACCCAAUCUUGAGUGAAAAAGAUACCACGACUACGGUCUUUUUCAAUAAAAUCAUCACGUAAUAAAUCAACAAAACCCAAAGUCAUCUCGCGUUCCCCUUCCAGUUUACCUACUACUGUACCAGCGUGAAUAUGAUCUCCACCAGACAUACGUAAUGCUUUAGCUAGUACACGAAAAUGCAUACCAUGAUUUUUCUGUCUAUCAAUAACUGCAUGCAUUGCGCGAUGGAUGUGAAGAAGUAGGCCAUUGUCGCGGCAAUAAUGAGCCAAACUAGUAUUUGCAGUGAAUCCCCCAGUUAAGUAAUCAUGCAUUACGAUAGGAACUCCCAAUUCUCUGGCAAAUACGGCCCUUUUGAUCAUUUCUUCACAUGUACCCGCAGUAGCAUUUAAGUAAUGUCCUUUGAUUUCACCCGUUUCGGCCUGCGCUUUAUAAAUUGCUUCGGCACAAAAUACGAAACGGUCUCUCCAACGCAUAAAUGGUUGUGAGUUCACGUUUUCAUCAUCUUUGGUAAAAUCAAGCCCACCGCGUAGACAUUCAUAAACCGCUCUACCGUAGUUCUUUGCGGAUAAUCCCAAUUUUGGUUUAAUAGUACAUCCCAAUAGAGGACGACCAUACUUGUUCAACUUAUCUCUUUCAACUUGGAUGCCAUGAGGCGGGCCUUGGAAAGUUUUUGAAUAAGAAGUGGGAAUUCGCAGAUCCUCCAGACGUAGAGCUCGUAGGGCUUUGAAACCAAAUACAUUACCUACAAUGGAAGUAAACAUGUUAGUAACGGAACCUUCUUCAAAAAGGUCUAAAGGAUAAGCUACAUAAGCAAUAUAUUGAUUUUCCUCCCCGACAACGGGCUCGAUGUGGUAGCAUCUUCCUUUGUAACGAUCAAGACUGGUAAGUCCAUCAGUCCAAACAGUUGUCCAUGUACCAGUAGAAGACUCGGCUGCUACCGCAGCCCCUGCUUCUUCAGGCGGAACUCCGGGUUGAGGAGUUACUCGGAAUGCUGCCAAGAUAUCAGUAUCUUUGGUUUCGUAUUCAGGAGUAUAAUAAGUCAAUUUGUAAUCUUUAACACCAGCUUUAAAUCCAACACUUGCUUUAGUCUCUGUUUGUGGUGACAUAAGUCCCUCCCUACAACUCAUGAAUUAAGAAUUCUCACAACAACAAGGUCUACUCGAUAUGGAUUAGGCAUGAAUGAAACCUUUAACAAAAAUCUUUCAAAAAAUAUUCAAUAUUCAAUUAAUAUUAUCAACUCAUUAAAAUGUUAUGUUAAAACGGUUUGUUAUUAGACCAUGUAUUUGAUUCACCAAAUACAUCAUUAUUGUAUACUCUUUGAUAUAUAUAGCGCAACCCAACCCAAUCCUAAUCUUUGUUUUGCAGGUUUAUAAUUGAAUUGAUCCCUUUCUUAUUUUGAAUCUAAAUAUCUAAAUACUGAGAAAAAUUCCCCCUUGACAGUAAUAUAUGUUGUAUAUGUAAAUCCUAGAUGUGAAAAUAGGCAUAAUUCAUCCACGAAAGGGUAUAAUAUAAAGACGGAAAUCUAUAUGAAAAAUCCAAAAUAAAGAACAAAGGCCAAUAAGAUCCAAAUAAUAAAUCAUAAAUCGAGUUCGGGUUCGAAUUCCAUAAGUAAUAUAAUAUGGAUCUUUUUUUAUAUAAUGAUAGAGAAAUGAAACACAUUUAUUCACGAUUUCGUCUACUUGCAAU